GACGAACGCUGGCGGCACGCCUAACACAUGCAAGUCGAACGGAGUUAUGAGAGCUUGCUUUCAUAACUUAGUGGCGGACGGGUGAGUAACACGUGAGCAACCUACCUUUAAGAAAGGGAUAGCUUCUGGAAACGGAUGGUAAUACCUUAUAACAUAGAAAUACGGCAUCGUAUUUUUAUCAAAGAUUUUAUCGCUUAAAGAUGGGCUCGCGGCUGAUUAGCUAGAUGGUGAGGUAAUGGCUCACCAUGGCGACGAUCAGUAGCCGGACUGAGAGGUUGAACGGCCACAUUGGGACUGAGACACGGCCCAGACUCCUACGGGAGGCAGCAGUGGGGGAUAUUGCACAAUGGAGGAAACUCUGAUGCAGCGAUGCCGCGUGGAGGAAGAAGGUCUUCGGAUUGUAAACUCCUGUUAUCGGGGACGAAGAUGACGGUACCGACGAGGAAGCUCCGGCUAACUACGUG
Molecule: ribosomal RNA, 464 nt
Filed under: uncultured bacterium
Lineage: Bacteria
Description: bacterial SSU rRNA
Rfam family: Bacterial small subunit ribosomal RNA
Source: RNAcentral